This is a long non-coding RNA of Canis lupus familiaris (dog), 1953 nucleotides long. RefSeq lists it as uncharacterized. The transcript has 4 exons. The record is from RefSeq and is a predicted model, not a curated record. Lineage: Eukaryota; Metazoa; Chordata; Mammalia; Carnivora; Canidae.
AAUUGGGGCGUUGAGCUCUGGGAGCAAGGGCCCCAAGAGUCUGAAAUCCUGGAAUUUCCUUCCUAGGGCAUCCACAAGGGGAGAGAAAGAGGGUGAUCCCCAACUGAUUGGUUUACAACUGACAGUGAUAUUGUUGCCAGGAGAGCUGCUAUGGGUUUCUCAGCCUGGAGACUGUUGGGCCAGGGCCAGUUCCUGGCAAAAGAGAGUUCCUGCUGCUGAGUGUCCUUUGAGGAAAUUCUGGUGAUUCUGGCAUCAGUGUUCAAGUUUAUGGCAGUAGGUAGUCCAGGAGGCACAAGAGCAGGUCUCCCUUCAAGGUCAGGGCCAGAGGAGAAGACACAGGAGGACUUACUGCAUGAGACAUCUACUUGGAAAGAGCAAAUCAUGAUCUGGGGGAGCAGAUGACCAGGGGAGGGGCUCAGGUCUUGUUCUUAGAGUCUCCUCCUUCCAUGUCAUUCCAUUCUAUGUUGAAGGCUACCCCCUUUACCCUUACCAUAUAACAAGAGCUGGAAACCCAACAAGAUCCUGGCCUUUGGCCAAGGACAUGAGGGCCUAAGGACCUUGCUUGGAAAGUGAAUUUCUCAGAACUCUGGGAACUUGCCAGUCUUGGGAGGAAGGUGGGGUGAUGCUGAAGGGUGGGUAGACAGGACCACUGAGCAAGGCAGGCCAGGCAUCUGGAGGAGGCUGAUGUGGUUCUGUGAAGCACACAGGGGCCAAAGUGUGUGCCUGGGAAAGUCACCUCAGUGUGGGACUCCAGAGCCCCCCUCCAUCCCUAGUGGCUGAUAGGCGGUGAGAAGAACCCUGACCUGAUCCCCAGAGGUGGCAGUAAAGAGAGAAAGUGCCUACCACCCAGGCAAGAGGCCAAGUCCUGGUGUUCAAGCGCCAGGGGAUGUUGAGAUGACCAUGAGCGUUUCUUCAUUGAGAGAAAGUCUCUAGCCUGAUAUGGACCAUAAGCCCUAGCAUCCACAAAAGAGACAGAGCUUAGGGCCCAAAAAGGCAGAGGAAGCUUGCAGGAAAAUGUGUGUGGAUGAACCCAGGGACAACACUUGGAAAUGGGCCUGAGAUUUGGCUGAGGCUGAGGCUGGUUGCUCUGUUGAUUAUGGUAGUCAAGGACGACAGAGGGUUGAGGGGCAGGAGGUGCUUCUGAGGAGACAAGGAAGAACGAGGAGGGGGUAUUCAUCAGCCUGAGGGACAUUUCUUUUGUGGCUCGGUCGGGGUGACCAGGGAUGCUCACCGGGCAGUGAGGAUGGAGCCCAGCGAUGGAGCCUGGCCUCCACAACGGUGCUGAAAACCUGCCAGCCCUGGGGAGGAGAGAGGCUUGAUACACUUUGUCUACACCUCCAGCUGCAGACAAGAUGGCAGGGCGCCUGCCUUUCCCAAGGAGAGUCAGUUGAGAAGCACAGGAGCCAUUGCCCCUAGGGCAGCCCCUGGUUCCUACCUGCCUGGGCCUUCGACAGGCUCUCAGAGCCUCUGAGAUGGGCAAACUGGCAUAAGAGAACUCAGCAGAAAUGGAGGGAAAAGUGAGAGGUCCAGAGUCUGGGAAAAAUGUCAUUGGAGAGUAGCUAGCAUGGAGAUCCUACAGUUUCCCUCCCUCUACUGUUCAGAGAGGCCCACCUGUUCUCCUAUCAACAGUGAAGGAUAUACUAGCAUCGUAUAGAGCCUGAGGUCUGUGCUGAGAGCCUGAUGGUUGGAGCCACUUCCCUGCCUGUCUCUUCCAAUUGAUGGGAUAGUGUCUAUAAAAAUGUCUUGAAAGUAUGAAAAGUGGCAAAUUGGCCUUCACAAUAAACAGAACUUAAUGUAACAUAUUUCAAAAUUUUAAAUCUCAAUGAACAAAAGCUAUCUCUAAUGCUUUCUUUUUCAGGGCAAAUUUCUUGGCAUUUACACACCUUAAAUGUUUUACUAUGAUCCUGGGGGGGGCGGUUGUUAUCAUAAUAAAGAAGCUUUCAUUUAUAUAAA